Molecule: long non-coding RNA, 539 nt
Organism: Mauremys reevesii (Reeves's turtle)
Lineage: Eukaryota; Metazoa; Chordata; Testudines; Geoemydidae
Exons: 5
Source: RefSeq, a predicted model, not a curated record
CUAGUCACUGGUGUAGUCAGCAGAAUUCACAUACCAAGGUCAAGAGCCUUGGGAAGAAGAGGUGAAGGAGCCUGAGAACCCUUCUGCCCCAGACAUCAGAGAGGAGUCCACUGAACUGGAAGUGGCCUGUUUGCAGCACUUGAGAGCCCAGGAAGACUGUGAGCAUCAAAGACUGAUGAAGAAAUUGCAAGUCAGCAAGACCAAAGCAGUCAAGACAGCUGAGGAGAAAGCCCCCCAAAGAUGCAUAAAACAAAUAGCAGCAGUCAAAACCAACAAAGAAGUUGAGGAGAGGGCACACAAGAGGCAGAUGGAAGUUCAAACAUUGCAGCUCAAAUUACUGAAGCAGCAGAAGGAGCUUCCCCAUCCACAGGGCAAAUCUUGAGACCGCCUCAAAUUUACUGAGGGGAGCUAUGCACCAGCCUGACCAGGACAGGCCUAUGAGGAAACCUGACUUCAGGUGGCCCUGCUAAUCGACUUACUUCACACCCUUUCAGUGCCAACAGGGUUUUCUCCAGACUGACGAUAAAACUGAAAACCAC